Molecule: long non-coding RNA, 5341 nt
Organism: Brassica napus (rape)
Lineage: Eukaryota; Viridiplantae; Streptophyta; Magnoliopsida; Brassicales; Brassicaceae
Exons: 2
Source: RefSeq, a predicted model, not a curated record
UUAAAGAAUCAGUGGACCAGAGGAGAUGAGGCCAUAAGAAGCUUCAUUGGCACUUGGUUUCAAAUGAGAAAAGAUGAAGUGGACACUUGCAGACAUCCAAGUGGUCACUUUGAUCACUACUAGCCAAAAACAGCUUCCAAAGUCAAGCUAAAUGACUAUAACAAAGCGCUGAGUGGGAGGCAACCCACUAUUAAGUAUUUCUUUAAGUUUUUAGUGUUUACAUUUAUUUAUUUUCGUUUUUAAUUUUCUUGAAGGUCGUAAAAAAAAACAAAAAAAUAGAAAAACCAGAAAAACCUAAAAGAGACCCAAGUAGCUGUUACUUGCCAUCAACGGAUGAGAUCCAGUUGACAUCGUUCGACAGCACAACACCAGUAACGAUCGAUAGACACUACCCUGUGUCGAUCAACAUCGACGUCUGCGAUCAGUUAUAUCGUUUUCCUUGUUACAUAUUGUCCUUAUGAUUUAUGUUUUCACCAAACUCCAACUAAAUGUACACUGGGGACAAUGUAAUUUAAGUUUAGGAGAGGUUUACUGAUAUUAAGUUUACCUUUGAGUUUUAUUAAACAUUUCAAAAAGUUUUUAUUGAGUCAAGAAAGGGACAAUGAACUUUUACAAUUUUCCUUACUUAUCUAACCACUCUUUAGCACAAUUCUAAGAUUUAUUGAGUGCAGAUUGUACUAUAGAUGCUAAAGUGGAUCAUCCUGCCAGUUAUUCACACUUGCUUAGAAUGUUUGAAAGAUCCAAGCUGACCUCCAACCUAAUUGAGCUCAACUUGCUUGUCUUGGAGCUUGGUAUGCAUUGGAUCGGAAUCCUCCUGCAAGUCUGGAAGUUAUUAGACUAAGUGUCCCUGGUUUUCCUUCCACCUCUCUUUGGCAUCCAUAUAUAUUUAAAAAAGAUUGAAAUGAUUUCUUGCGGUGUAGAGGGGUAGGAGUGUCUCUUGCGACCCCAUUAUUCUACUCUAAUAGAAAGAUCACACAUUGUUUGGAAGCGAGAGGUAGAUACAUUAUCGAUGACCCCACUAUUCGCCUAUAACUUUGCCCAGUAAAAAAAAAAUCGGAUUAAGAGAAGAGAGAAGAGAGAAGAGGAACCAUAAAAGGUUUACAUGUAGGUCCAGAUACUUGUUUGAGUUGAUUUCAUGUGUUCAGUGAUCGAUACUCCCAAGGUAAAGCUUACACCUUUAUUAUUUAUAUGAAUGAGAAUGAGGUCAGUAGAGGGGUUAGUCAGACAUGCUUUGUUAAGUUGUUGGAUGAAUGGAAUUGGUUGCUAAACUAAGAUACUGCAUGGAAAGUACCUAUAAGUUAGGAUUGAUUUGAUGUGGUUUGCAAUAUUGCUGAGGUGAUGAUAGUAAGUUCUAGACGACUGUAAGUCCAAGUCCCACAAGAAUUACCAGAUUACCUCUAACGAGGUUUAACCUAAUAUUUAUGUGCUAUGCCAUUGUUCUAGGCAACACACGCUUUCUUACUUUCAUACAGCAAAAUACUUAGAGUCUUAGGUUUGGAGAGAAGAUCCAAGAACUCCUUUAGAGAUUUGUGAUUGGAACUCCAGUUUUCUACUAUAUUCUAUUUAUGCAGUUUUCUUAUUUCUUUGUGAUGAAUUGCUUAGUUAUGUCUGAGUAGUUCUCCUUAUUAGAUUUAGGGUUCAGAUAUUCAUGAGGGAUUAACUUCAAAUAUUGAAUUGCUAAGUAUUAGGAUAUCCAUCAAUUAAACUGUUCUUAAUGCCUAUGUUCUAGAGUAGCUAACUAGGACCUUGCCUAUAGAUAUUAGGGUGCAAGCGGAAGCUUGGUUCUCUGUCUGAAUUAGUUUAGAUUGUGCUAGGUGUUGGGUUCAAAAACAGACACGACGAAGUUAACAUCCAAAUAUCCGUAAAAAUCAGCAUGACCGCUUUUACGAAAAGUGAUCUUCGUAAAGAAAUAUUUAAGAAGAACUUUGCGGUGAAAUCUUGCACUGAUCUCGGUUGAUUCAUCGAAACUAAACACCCAUAGUCGAAGAACACGUUCAUAAAACGUCAGAAAAGGAUCCAAACAAGGUCGCCACGUAGUGACCGGUCCACGAACGAGCCGGUCGCUAUGUAGCGACCAACCAAGCCACUCGGUCGGUCGCUACGUAGCGACCGACCUGCAAACGAGUCGGUCGCUAAGUAGUGACCGACCAAACCUUUCGUUCAGUAGCUACGUAGCGACCGAUCCAGUGCGGACCAGGUCGCUACAUAGCGACCGAACUGUCUCGGACAUCGAUCAACGGGUACGACCAAAAUCCGUGCAUUCUUGUCUGUUCCUCAAUGCUAGCUCCCAUGUACCGCAGCCAUAUCAUUUCUCACAUCAUUCUGAUCAAAGUUACCGUUGAAACUUUACGACAAAAACCGCGAGAACUUGUUUUUGUCGAAAACAAAAUCAUAACAAACGUUUCAUGUUGAAAGACGGCCCAACGAGGUCUAAAACGCGACUACAAGCCCACUUACGAUUCUUUAAGAAUGAGCUCGUAGAUACUAUGGCGGUUUAUGUUUUUAUUUUAUAAAAAAAAAUAUAAAGAUAAGUUUCCGCAGAAUAAAUGUUAAGUUUCCGCGGAUAAACAUGAAGAUCGGAAAAAAUGGAAUACACUACAAGAAAUAUAGGUAUUGGUAGCAGUUUGCGGUAGCACGAAUUCACGAACUGCUACUAAAAGUGUCAAAAUCCGGAUCCUAACUCUAUCGUAGCAUUAAAAACGGGCUACGGAUAUUUUCACUUAAUAAAGCCUAAAAAUCACCACUAUAGCGGGAAAGUCAUGUUGGAGGCAAAACACUUAGCGAAAAUUUUAGCUUUUGUGCCAUUUAGGUAGAGUUUUUAUUUCUUCUUUACAAAAAAAAAAUCACUCAUUCUAAUUCAUAGAAAAAAAACUAUUCUCUCAUCUUUCUCCUCCUCCAUAGUCGAACUUAUUUCUCUAAUUAAUUUGGGUUUCUUUCUUCAACUUUGACAAAAAAAAGUCGUUUCCUUUUCCUUCUCUGCUUCGACGUUGCUUGGAUUGACUGAAACCCCAUUGCUACGGUGUUGCAACUGGAGAUUUCUGCUUCGCCGCUGCUAGGAUUCUCUCCUCACUGCCAACUCCUCACUGAAAUUAGGGUUCAUAACCUUUGAUCAGUGUUGAUUCUUGUGGUUCAGUUUCUCCAAAUCGGUACCAAUCUUCAAGAUCUCAAAACCCAGAAUGAUUUUUUCUUUAUCUUCCCCUUUGUUGCUUCGUUCAAGUUUACACUUCCAUGCUUCUUCCCACCAAUCCAUCGUUACAGCAAGAAGAAGUAUCACCUUGUUCCACCGCCAACAAAUUCGUUGUAAUUUCACAAAGUUGCUGCCUUUUUCUGCAAAUUGACAGUGUUGUCUAAUAUUUUGAUAUCUGCAGAGUCUAUCAAAGUCAGGAGGAGGAGGUUUGCUUAAAAAUUUAGAGCAUGAGGAUGAUUCUUCUUCCUCCAGACAAGGUGUGCAAGUCUUUCCUUUUUCUCUCCCGUAGCCUUGGAUUGUCUCUAAUGCUUGGUAUUUCUCAGGGAGAGGUUUAUAUACGAGGAAAAAAGCGAGCUGGUUUGACAAGUGACGAGAAGGUUUCAGGGCUUUGCAUUGGCCUUGUAAGUGCUCUUUUCAUGAGUAGUGUAUGUUUGGUUUGGAGUGUGUGUAUCUGGGGUUAAGUCUCUGCAUUUUUAUUUCUUCUUUUACUUUGUGUCUUUGCGUGAAUCUACGAAUGAAAUCUUAGAGCAGCACUGCCUCUGUUUCGUUUCAUUUCUAUGGAUGAUAUUAUCUUUUCUAUUCAAGAACUGGAUUAAUUAACCCGCUUGCUUACAGGUGCUGCUACCAAGUAGUGGGCAUUGGAACUUGGAAGAUGGUACUAACUCUGUCGCUAUGGCUAAAGAGGUGAAUGAGAGUCAACUUUGAGUUUUUGAAGAAACUUGGAGUUGAUUGGUGGUGUUUCUACACGUGAGCUGUUUGCUUUGAACAUUGGGUUUGCAACAGUGAGAAGAACCAGAAGGCUAAAGACUCUAGCUGAAUAUGUCAUGCAGUUGGCUCUUAUAUGUAAUAUCUUUUAUAAGCAUUAGGAAUCUUAAACAUUCACAACUGAUUCACGGAUGGGAGUAAUGUAUUACACGUUGGGGAGGUUUAUGUAUAUUUUGGUGCACUCUGCGGCACUUGAGAUGGUUUAGUUUAUUAAUUAUCCAAGAACAUACAAGAUAUAUAAAUGUAUAUCUAAAAUACUAUUAAUCAUACUCUAAACCCUUAAUUUUUAAUAUUUCAUCAUAAAAUCCAAAUAUACCAACAAAUAAUAUGAUAUAAUUAAAAUCUAACACUAAUAAUAAACUAGAAAUUUUUUUUUUGCUUCAAGUUCUAAACCCUAAACAUACCAUAAAUUCCAACAUCCAACACUUACAAUAAACUUCAAAAUGAACAUUUGUAGAAAUUUAUAACUAAAACAAAAGCAUAUUACUUUAAAAAUAUAUAAAUUUUCAACAUGUAAUUUAAAAAAAAAAAAAAACCUAAACCUAAACCCUAAUGUUUGAUGUCGGUGUAAUACUUGGAAAGAUUCUAUGUAAGAUGUAUCUAUUAUGAAUUUAAUGCAAUAUAUGUUUUAGUUAUAAAUCAAUUUGCAAUUUGCAAUUUAUAAUUUAUAAAAUAUAAUCUUAAAUUUAAAUUCUAAAUCUCAAACACUAAAUCUUUAAUCUACCCCCUAUAUCAAAUACCCCAAACCUCAAACCUAUGAUAUAAAUUUAAAAACCAAACUCCAAUUAUAUUCAAAAACUCAAACCAUAUACUUGAUCCUAAAUCUUAACCAUGUACCUAAUAGAACUUAUAUCCAAUAUAUAAAAACAUUUAAUAGUUAAAAUCCUAUUUUUUAAAAGAUUAAUUUCAUAUUUUAAAUAUAUACUUUAAACAAUCAUCCCCCAAACUCUAAACCCUGAAUGAUAAAUCUAAUCUCCAAAUUUAUUUAUUUUCAUUUUAACUCAAAAUCUUAAAUGUAAACUUUAAAUCUAUUUCGAAACUUUAAUUUCUGAUUUUCAACUUAAACCCUAAACUCUAUUUCAUAUACCUCAAUAUCAAUAACAAAGUUUAAAAUUUAAAAUUUAAAACUAUAAAUUUAAUUCUAAAGAUUAAUUUUUAACAUUUAAAUUGUGAAAUCUAAAUCUUAUUUUUUUCUCAAAAUUUUAUCAUAAAUAUUCUAUAUAUUAAACACACAAAAUAGAAAAGGAAAAAAUGGUGUUCCAAGAAAAAAAGAAUAAAAAAACAACAACAAAACAAUCUGAUUGGUCAACACAUAUCGGCCAGUCACGUUUAAGUGCGAGGAUCAAGCCUUAUAAAAUAACAGCCGUCGAUAGAAGUGAAUCCAAUGGA